CCUACGGGAGGCAGCAGUAGGGAAUCUUCCACAAUGGGCGCAAGCCUGAUGGAGCAACGCCGCGUGUGUGAUGAAGGCUUUCGGGUCGUAAAGCACUGUUGUAUGGGAAGAACAGCUAGAAUAGGAAAUGAUUUUAGUUUGACGGUACCAUACCAGAAAGGGACGGCUAACUACGUGCCAGCAGCCGCGGUAAU
RNAcentral lists this ribosomal RNA (194 nucleotides) under uncultured bacterium. RNAcentral describes it as "partial 16S ribosomal RNA". It matches the Rfam family "Bacterial small subunit ribosomal RNA", at positions 338 to 524 of the family's 1533-position model. The record is from RNAcentral.